GAAGCGGGCAGGCAUAGUGUGAUAAUGUCAAAUUUAUGGGGUGUUUCCGUCAUUUUACUGGAAAUCAGGUAUAGGCCACGUGGGUCGGAGGAGCCGGUUUAGGCGCCGCUUGCACUUAGUGACACCGACGAUGACAGUUUGAAUCGGCCCUUUCUUCCGUCUCUCCCCUCCUUUUCAUCAGUACAAUUGGUAGCCCUACCCCUCCCCGCCGUCAGUUUGUAUCCGCUUUUUCUUGUUCACCGCCGGAACGCACCCUCCUCUCUGUUUGAUCAUUAGAGCUGCCGCCGCCGUGAAGCUAUCAGUUUCGAUUGGACGGGUCUCUCUUCGGGACACGAUGGUGAGGGCAUAUGCACAAGAGCACACCUACAAACACCCAUGGGAGCGUGUGACUACUGCUUCCUGGCGCAAAUUUGCUGAUCCUGAGAACAAGAGCACACUGUCUCACAUCCUUGAAGUGGAUACUUUGAACCGCAAGCUUGACUCUACUUCAGGAAAGCUUUACACAACACGAGCCAUCACCAUCCAUGCCCCCGGACCUUGGUUUAUUCGCAGAAUCAUUGGUCAAGACAUCUGUCAUUGUGUUGAAUCUACAGUUGUUGAUGCCAAUUCUCGAUCGAUGCAACUUGCUACCCGCAAUAUCAGUCUGCAGAAGUUCAUUGAGGUGGAGGAGAAGAUCCGCUAUGAUCCCCAUCCACAGAAUCCUAAUGAAUGGACAAUUUGCAAACAGGAAACUAGCAUUAGAAUAAAACCCCUAUCAUCACUGGCGUCAAUGGCGGAGAAGAUUGAGCAAAAGUGUGUGGAUAAAUUUCAACAGAAUAGUGCUAAGGGUAGGGAAGUCAUGGAGAGAAUCUGUAAGUAUCUUGAAGCUGAAGCUAGCGGAAUCUCAAUAUGAAUAGAUUUUUCAGUAUUUAAGCCUAGGUGUUGUACCUGUGAGGGUUGAACUAGAUGGAACUAGGAUUGCAGUGGAAAGCUUUGUAGGACUUGAUAGUUGAUCUUUACUUAGUUAGACGUAAUAAUGUUUAAUAGAGGAAUACUUGCUUGAUAUGCACCUCAUGCAACUUGCCCAGAAUGGAAUGGCCAUGAGGUAUUGGAUGAGAUACAUGAAAUCCUAGCUGCUUUUGGAUGUAGCUUUUGCUAUGUUGGAAUUCAUGGAUUUGGUGUCAAGCAUGUCAUACCAAAUUGUCAACACGAUGAGAACUUUAAUUUAGAUUUUAACAUGGCAAGCCGGUGUUGCUGCUGCUGCUAUUAGAUUCAAAAAUUCACUGUCUGAUUAGGUCUAAGAUUGAAAGACAGGCUUAGGCCAAUAGAAGCUCAAUAGAAAGCGGAUAUUUGUACUUGAAACUGGUCAAGAUUGCGUUGAUUUUAUCUCCAAAUUUUGUGUGAGACGCUGCAUAAAAA
This is a non-coding RNA of Coffea arabica (coffee), 1398 nucleotides long. The record is from RefSeq and is a predicted model, not a curated record. Lineage: Eukaryota; Viridiplantae; Streptophyta; Magnoliopsida; Gentianales; Rubiaceae.